CACUCCAUUGGCCUAGUGGUUAGAGUGUCCACCUCAGAUGUGGGAGGUCGUGGGUUCGAUCCUCGGUCGAGUCA
Potamilus streckersoni is the source of this 74-nucleotide non-coding RNA. NCBI's taxonomy places the organism in Eukaryota, Metazoa, Mollusca, Bivalvia, Unionida, Unionidae. The record is from the annotation of a GenBank genome assembly.